Molecule: ribosomal RNA, 36 nt
Filed under: Phellinus laevigatus
Lineage: Eukaryota; Fungi; Basidiomycota; Agaricomycetes; Hymenochaetales; Hymenochaetaceae
Also listed under: 2 other names
Description: partial 28S ribosomal RNA
Source: RNAcentral
UGACAUCUUGACCUCAAAUCAGGUAGGAUUACCCGC